Molecule: long non-coding RNA, 1556 nt
Filed under: Homo sapiens (human)
Lineage: Eukaryota; Metazoa; Chordata; Mammalia; Primates; Hominidae
Source: RNAcentral
UGUAAUCCCAGCACUUUGGGAGGCCGAGGUGGGCAGAUCAUCUGAGGUCAAGAGUUCAAGACCAGCCUGACCAACAUGGAGAAACCCUGUCUCUACUAAAAAUACAAAAUUAGCCAGGCAUGGUGGCACAUGCCUGUAAUCCCAGCUACUCCGGAGGCUGAGGCAGGAGAAUUGCUGGAACCUGAGAGGUGCAGGCUGCAGUAAGCCAAGAUCGCACCAUUACACUCCAGCCCAGGCAACAAGAGCGAAACUCCAUCUCAAAAAAAAAAAAAAAGAAAAGAAAAAAAGAAAGACAUUUAAUAGUUCUCAGUAAUAAAGAGAGGAACCAACUGUCUUUUAAAAUUGUAGUCUUAAAAAUUUGAAGGAAGAAACCCAGUGAAUCCCAUCUUGGGACAGGUGGCCAUCACUAUACCGGGGACCAUAGCAAAAAAAAAAAAAAGAAAAAUGUGUCAGACAAAACUACAAAUGUUCAGCACGGUGUUCAAACACACACUGGGCGUGGCAGCAAGAUCAGAGGAUGGGAGAUGAGAAAGAAGGGGGACUGAAGUCUACACGUUCAAGGAGUUUGUCUCAGAAGGAAACUGCAAAAUAAAGACCAUCCCUGACAUGUUGACAUUGAUGCUGAAAGGGAGAGAGAGCCCUGAAGGCCGGGCGUGGUGGCUCACGCCUGUAAUCCCAGCACUUUGGGAGGCCAAGGCGGGCGUAUCACCUGAGGUCAGGAGUUAAAGACCAGCCUGACCAACAUGGAGAAACCCCACCUCUACUAAAAAUCCAAAAUUAGUUGGGUGUGGUGGCGCAUGCCUGUAAUCCCAGCUACUCCGGAGGCUGAGGCAGGAGAAUCGCUGGAACCUGAGAGGCGGAGGUUGUGGUAAGCCAAGAUUGCACCUUUGCACUCCAGCCUAGGCAACAAAAGUAAAACUCCACCUCAAAAAAAAAAAAAAAAAAAAAAAAAAAGGAAAGCCCUGGAGGAGUGACUCUUGAGACAGAAGGUUUGACACACUCAAAGUGAGAAAAUUGAUCAUUCAGUAUACACCAUGCAAAGGCCCGAAUCUGGCCCCAAAUAUCUCAUUUUGUCUGAAAAAAAUGAAAAUGUCACUUUUGACACCCCCCAACCAAAAUCUCAAUUUGUUUACAAGAACCACAUAAGGAAUCUUAUUCCUUAACCAUUUGAUGGUUGAGUUCCCCAAAAAUAGAAAUUAAAGCCACACACUGUCUUUCAUCUACCCUCUUUGCAGGGGUACAUUCACUUUGGGAGACCGUGAACAUCUUGGUAGAGGAUUUUAGACUUUAAGAGCAAAAGAAUGACACUGGACAUUUUUCAAGCAGAAGAAUGCACAACUGUAGGAUUCUCCUGGUUGCUAUGUAAGGAAUGAGUUAAGGGGAGGCAGGAAGGGAAGCUGGAAGACCAUUUAUGGGGCCUUUGGAGAAAUGCAGUUGAGAGAGUAUAGGGAGGAGAAGGUUAUAUUCUGGAGGUAGACUUGCUGCUAAAUUGGAUAAAGGAAGGGAAAGAAAGAGAAGACUUAGGAGUAACCUAGGCCGAGCGCGGUGGCUCAUGC